CUCUACCUACGGGAGGCAGCAGUGAGGAAUAUUGGUCAAUGGGCGCGGGCCUGAACCAGCCAUGCCGCGUGCAGGACGACGGCUCUAUGAGUUGUAAACUGCUUUUGUACCGGGGUAAAAUGCCUUACGAGUAGGGUUUUGAAAGUACGGUACGAAUAAGGAUCGGCUAACUCCGUGCCAGCAGCCGCGGUAAUACGGAGGAUCCGAGCGUUAUACGGAUUCAUUGGGUCUAAAGGGUGCGUAGGUUGUUUUAUAAGUUAGCGGUGAAAUACCGAUGCUCAACAUCGGGGCUGCCGCUAAUACUG
This 305-nucleotide ribosomal RNA is filed under the name uncultured bacterium. RNAcentral's name for it is "bacterial SSU rRNA". It matches the Rfam family "Bacterial small subunit ribosomal RNA", at positions 334 to 635 of the family's 1533-position model. The record is from RNAcentral.